GACGAACGCUGGCGGCGUGCCUAAUACAUGCGAGUCGAACGCUGAAGGAGGAGCUUGCUCUUCUGGAUGAGUUGCGAACGGGUGAGUAACGCGUAGGUAACCUGCCUGGUAGCGGGGGAUAACUAUUGGAAACGAUAGCUAAUACCGCAUAACAGUAGAUGUUGCAUGACAUUUGCUUAAAAGGUGCAAUUGCAUCACUACCAGAUGGACCUGCGUUGUAUUAGCUAGUUGGUGGGGUAACGGCUCACCAAGGCGACGAUACAUAGCCGACCUGAGAGGGUGAUCGGCCACACUGGGACUGAGACACGGCCCAGACUCCUACGGGAGGCAGCAGUAGGGAAUCUUCGGCAAGGGACGGAAGUCUGACCGAGCAACGCCGCGUGAGUGAAGAAGGGUGUCGGAUCGUAAAGCUCUGUUGUAAGAGAAGAACGAGUGUGAGAGUGGAAAGUUCACACUGUGACGGUAUCUUACCAGAAAGGGACGGCUAACUACGUG
Molecule: ribosomal RNA, 495 nt
Filed under: uncultured bacterium
Lineage: Bacteria
Description: partial 16S ribosomal RNA
Rfam family: Bacterial small subunit ribosomal RNA
Source: RNAcentral